Molecule: non-coding RNA, 1336 nt
Organism: Camelina sativa (false flax)
Lineage: Eukaryota; Viridiplantae; Streptophyta; Magnoliopsida; Brassicales; Brassicaceae
Source: RefSeq, a predicted model, not a curated record
UUUUCUCUCUCUCUUUCCUCUCUCUAUUUCCUCCUCUCGACGAACCGGCUUCUUUGUCUUCUCCAUAGCUGAUCGAUCUAAUACUCAGUUGUUUCUGUAAUCAGCGGUGAUGAUUGAUGGCUUCUAACGAUCCAAAAAAUGGCGGAGGUUUCUUCGCCUCUAUUGGUUUAUCCAUCACCAAUUUCGGAUCGGUCAUGUCCAAAUCAGUUUAACGGGUAAUGAAUUCAAAAUCCCCAUAAACAAUUUCUCGUUUUCAGAUCCUCCAUUCUUCAGCUGGGAUGGAUUCACAUGCUUCUUAUGCUGGAAACUAUGGUGGGAUGUUAUAUUAAUUCAUCUGGUUGGGAUUUGAAGGAAUUGUGUGUGAUGUGAUUUGAUUCAACAAAAACAGGCAAGUUACAACAGAGGAAGGGGAUAAUAAAGCUCGUGAGUUUGGUGCUUUGUUCAUGGAGACUAGUGCCAAAGAUGGGUUCAACAUUCAGGGUACACACUAGAUUCUAAUAACAGUUGGUGUGGAGAAACUAUGUUUUCUGUGUUCAUCAUUUCCGUUGCUUUGAUGUUAAAUGGGAACUAAGAGAGAAAUACGCAUUGGCAGCUUGCUGUGCUGGUAAUAUGAUGUUAGUACAUGUGCCCGUCUCAUCCCUGAUAAUCUUGUUCCUUGUUCUGCCUGUUUUAAGUUUGUUAGCUUGUAAUAUUUCAGAGGCUUGCUAGUUUUUUAAGUAUCUUCAUCUGUGUGUUGAUAACUGGAAUUUCAUCACUGCAUAAACGCUUACACUUGAUAUUGGUGUUCUUUGUACUGUUUGUAGUCUCUAGAUGUGUUAAGAGAAUCACAUUUGAUGCUAAGCUCCACUAGUGAAUGAGUUAUUUGCUCAUAAUUACAUUAAAAAUGUAGUUGGGUUGGGUAGCCAAUGAUAUAGGUUUGGUUGUUUUCAAUUUCUGUAAUUUUUUAUUAGAUUGAGAGGUAUAAAGCAGAGAUUAAGAAGCUUCAGAAAUCAGAAGAGAAGAGAAGAGAAACGGUUUGAAGAGAAGAGAAAGCCAAAGAUAUAGUGAAGACAUAUAUAAGUGCAAAGGAAAAAGCUGGCAAGUGAAGAAACGCAUAGACAUUGGCUGAUUACAAACGGAGAAUAUCGUAGCGAAUUGAUGAACGUCUGCUCUUGGAAACUGCAUUGCCUGCAGUGAUCUCACAUUGAUCGAUACAUAUGUUUAAAUUUGUUUUUGUUUGGAUGAGACACACACAACAACAUCUCCAAGUGUAAAUGUCAAGAGAUUUUUAUACUCUAUUGUUUCAAGAAUAGAUUGGCAGGCUAGAUACUGAAUAUUGCAGCUUGUUCAAAUUCUA